GACGAACGCUGGCGGCGUGCUUAACACAUGCAAGUCGAACGGAAAGGCCCUGCUUUUGUGGGGUGCUCGAGUGGCGAACGGGUGAGUAACACGUGAGUAACCUUCCCUUUACUUUGGGAUAACUUCAGGAAACUGGGGCUAAUACCGGAUAGGAGCUCCUGCUGCAUGGGGGGGGUUGGAAAGUUUCGGCGGGUGGGGAUGGACGCGCGGCUUAUCAGCUUGUUGGUGGGGUAGUUGCUUACCAAGGCUUUGACGGGUGGCCGGCCUGAGGGGGUGACCGGCCACAUUGGGCCUGAGACGCGGCCCAGACCCCUACGGGGGGCAGGAGGGGGGAAUAUUGCACAAGGGGCGGAAGCGUGAUGGAGCCGCGCCGCGUGCGGGAUGACGGCCUUCGGGUGGUAAACCGCUUUCGACUGUGGCGAAGCGUGAGUGCCGGAACUGGGUAAAGAAGCACCGGCUACCUACGU
This 467-nucleotide ribosomal RNA is filed under the name uncultured bacterium. RNAcentral's name for it is "partial 16S ribosomal RNA". It matches the Rfam family "Bacterial small subunit ribosomal RNA", at positions 28 to 506 of the family's 1533-position model. The record is from RNAcentral.